Molecule: long non-coding RNA, 400 nt
Filed under: Lathyrus oleraceus (garden pea)
Lineage: Eukaryota; Viridiplantae; Streptophyta; Magnoliopsida; Fabales; Fabaceae
Description: Pisum sativum (pea) long non-coding RNA (PSAT_LNC021377)
Source: RNAcentral
ACACACAUACACACACGUGCGUGCGUGCGUGAAAUACUCAAAAGGCAUAAGGAGUGCCAAGCAAAAAGCAUUGAAAAAUAAAAGAGAGAAAACAAAGGGAAACCACCAAUACUAAAUCAGAGAACAUGAACAUCCAAGACUGGAACAACACCCUAUAUAAGGGGCAUAAACCACGAGGCACCGCCAAGCAGAAAACCGACUAGAGAUCCGACCGCCAGACCCUCUAUCAACAUACUACAAGAAUCACUAGUAACAUUGAAGACCACUGAUCCCUCUAGAGCAUGUUAGAACUCUUAGUCCACUAUUGGCUAAGACACAUGUUAAGGUUUUGAAGCCAUUCGAAGAGGGAGAAAGAGUUUGAUGUUGAUCUAUUAAGGAACUAACUCCAAGCCAAAAAAAU